Molecule: ribosomal RNA, 91 nt
Filed under: Vibrio panuliri
Lineage: Bacteria; Pseudomonadati; Pseudomonadota; Gammaproteobacteria; Vibrionales; Vibrionaceae
Description: partial 16S ribosomal RNA
Rfam family: Bacterial small subunit ribosomal RNA
Source: RNAcentral
GCUCACCACUUUGUGGUUCAUGACUGGGGUGAAGUCGUAACAAGGUAGCGCUAGGGGAACCUGGCGCUGGAUCACCUCCUUAUACGAUGAU